Molecule: unclassified non-coding RNA, 553 nt
Filed under: Hevea brasiliensis (rubber tree)
Lineage: Eukaryota; Viridiplantae; Streptophyta; Magnoliopsida; Malpighiales; Euphorbiaceae
Source: RNAcentral
UCCUCCUGAAUCCAUUCAAUAGCUGCAAAUACAUUCACCAUAGACCAUCGAUUCAUCAAGGGGUAACCAAAAACUAGCAACGGAAAUAAUACUUAUAUUUAAAACAUCAAAAGGAAAAUCAUAUUUCACAUUUUACAUUUUGAAUUAAUAUCGUAUAGACAAUUCAAUCAAUUGAAACAGCACUUUGAUCAACAGUAGAGUCUAUAGUAAUUAACAAACAUCAGAAAAGAAAUUUAAACUAGAUAAAACGUAGAAUUAUAUCCAACUUCAUUUACCAGCUAACAUAUAGAGUUAAAAUGAUUGAAAAUUGGGCAAUUUCAUAACAUGAUCCUCUUCUAAAUCCAACAAAUUUUCCGAGUCAAACAAAAGAUAAACAAAUUCCCAGCUUUAAUAAUCAAAUAAACUGUACGAAUAAUUGGAAUUUACUAGCCCAUGUUCUAAUUAAUGGAACAGGCAUCACAUAUUAAAGAUAAAAAUCUACAAUUAAAUAAUGUAUUAAGAAAACGAAACUAGGAAAAUGGAGAGAUGAUCGAAGUUACCAUUAACACCGUCG